RNAcentral lists this ribosomal RNA (736 nucleotides) under uncultured fungus. RNAcentral's name for it is "LSU rRNA". It matches the Rfam family "Eukaryotic large subunit ribosomal RNA", at positions 23 to 664 of the family's 3401-position model. Lineage: Eukaryota; Fungi. The record is from RNAcentral.
ACCCGCUGAACUUAAGCAUAUCAAUAAGGCGGAGGAAAAGAAACUAACAAGGAUUCCCCUAGUAACGGCGAGUGAAGCGGGAAUAGCUCAAAUUUGAAAUCUCACAGGGUUACCUGUGCGAAUUGUAGUUUAGAGAAGCGUUUUCGGGGGCGACUUGGGUAUAAGUCCUCUGGAAAGGGGCAUCAUAGAGGGUGAGAAUCCCGUUUAUGGUCCAAUGUUCGCUCCUAUGUGAUACGCUUUCCAAGAGUCAGGUAGUUUGGGAUUGCUGCCUAAAAUGGGUGGUAAAUACCAUCUAAAGCUAAAUAUUGGCGAGAGACCGAUAGCAAACAAGUACCGUGAGGGAAAGAUGAAAAGAACUUUGAAAAGAGAGUUAAACAGUACGUGAAAUUGCCAAAAGGGAAACGCUUGGAACCAGUAUUGCUUGCAGGUAAUCAGCCGCACGUCCCGCAAGGGUCGCGUGUGGUGCACUUGCUUGCAGGCAGGUCAGCAUCAGUUUGGCUCGAGGUAAAAAGCCGGAGGAAGGUGACUUGGGCUUCGGUCUGAGUGUUAUAGCUUCCGGUCAUGCCCCGAGCUGGACUGAGGUCUGCAGCGUUUUUGGGAUUCCAGAUCGCCUUUCGAAGCUUGCGUCCAGACAGCAUGCUGACUGGAUGUAAGUCUAGGGAGCUCGGUAGGGUUCAUCACUCCAACGCUUAGGAUGCUGACGAAAUGGUUCCAAACGACCCGUCUUGAAACACGG